RNAcentral lists this ribosomal RNA (492 nucleotides) under uncultured bacterium. RNAcentral's name for it is "partial 16S ribosomal RNA". It matches the Rfam family "Bacterial small subunit ribosomal RNA", at positions 29 to 507 of the family's 1533-position model. The record is from RNAcentral.
AGUGAACGCUGGCGGUAGGCCUAACACAUGCAAGUCGAACGGCAGCACAGUAAGAGCUUGCUCUUACGGGUGGCGAGUGGCGGACGGGUGAGGAAUACAUCGGAAUCUACUUUUUCGUGGGGGAUAACGUAGGGACACUUACGCUAAUACCGCAUACGACCUACGGGUGAAAGCAGGGGAUCUUCGGACCUUGCGCGAUUGAAUGAGCCGAUGUCGGAUUAGCUAGUUGGCGGGGUAAAGGCCCACCAAGGCGACGAUCCGUAGCUGGUCUGAGAGGAUGAUCAGCCACACUGGAACUGAGACACGGUCCAGACUCCUACGGGAGGCAGCAGUGGGGAAUAUUGGACAAUGGGCGCAAGCCUGAUGCAGCCAUACCGCGUGGGUGAAGAAGGCCUUCGGGUUGUAAAGCCCUUUUGUUGGGAAAGAAAAGCAGCAGGUUAAUACCCCGCUGUUCUGACGGUACCCAAAGAAUAAGCACCGGCUAACUUCGUG